RNAcentral lists this unclassified non-coding RNA (253 nucleotides) under uncultured Rhodospirillales bacterium. RNAcentral's name for it is "contains 16S-23S intergenic spacer region". It matches the Rfam family "Bacterial small subunit ribosomal RNA", at positions 524 to 776 of the family's 1533-position model. The record is from RNAcentral. Lineage: Bacteria; Pseudomonadati; Pseudomonadota; Alphaproteobacteria; Rhodospirillales.
UACGGAGGGUGCAAGCGUUGUCCGGAAUUAUUGGGCGUAAAGCGCACGUAGGCGGACUGGAAAGUUGGGGGUGAAAUCCCGGGGCUCAACCUCGGAACUGCCUUUGAUACUGCCGGUCUAGAGUCUGUGAGAGGGUGGCGGAAUACCCAGUGUAGAGGUGAAAUUCGUAGAUAUUGGGUAGAACACCAGUGGCGAAGGCGGCCACCUGGCGCAGAACUGACGCUGAGGCGCGAAAGCGUGGGUAGCGAACAGG